GUCUUAUGUUGCCACGCACGUGAUGGUGGGGACGUCGUAAGAGGACUGCCGGGGUCAACUCGGAGGAAGGUGGGGACGACGUCAAGUCAUCAUGCCCCUUAUGUCCAGGGCUUCACACAUGCUACAAUGGCCAGUACAGAGGGCUGCGAGACCGUGAGGUGGAGCGAAUCCCUUAAAGCUGGUCUCAGUUCGGAUCGGGGUCUGCAACUCGACCCCGUGAAGUCGGAGUCGCUAGUAAUCGCAGAUCAGCAACGCUGCGGUGAAUACGUUCCCGGGCCUU
Molecule: ribosomal RNA, 280 nt
Filed under: uncultured Rhodococcus sp.
Lineage: Bacteria; Bacillati; Actinomycetota; Actinomycetes; Mycobacteriales; Nocardiaceae
Description: partial 16S ribosomal RNA
Rfam family: Bacterial small subunit ribosomal RNA
Source: RNAcentral